UACGGAGGGUGCGAGCGUUAAUCGGAAUUACUGGGCGUAAAGCGCGCGUAGGCGGCUUGUUAAGCUGGAUGUGAAAUCCCCGGGCUCAACCUGGGAACUGCACCCAGAACUGGCAAGCUAGAGUAUAGUAGAGGUGAGUGGAAUUUCCUGUGUAGCGGUGAAAUGCGUAGAUAUAGGAAGGAACAUCAGUGGCGAAGGCGACUCACUGGACUAAUACUGACGCUGAGGUGCGAAAGCGUGGGGAUCAAACAGG
RNAcentral lists this ribosomal RNA (253 nucleotides) under uncultured bacterium. RNAcentral's name for it is "partial 16S ribosomal RNA". It matches the Rfam family "Bacterial small subunit ribosomal RNA", at positions 524 to 776 of the family's 1533-position model. The record is from RNAcentral.